UCGAGAAUUUUCCGCAAUGGGCGCAAGCCUGACGGGGCGACGCCGCGUGGACGAAGAAGGCCUUCGGGUUGUAAAGUCCUGUCAAGAGGGAAGAAUGACCGUGUAAAACCACGGCUUGACGUUACCUCUGGAGGAAGCCCUGGCUAACUCUGUGCCAGCAGCCGCGGUAAUACAGAGAGGGCAAGCGUUGUUCGGAUUCACUGGGCAUAAAGCGCACGUAGGCGGGUCGAAUAGUCGGUUGUGAAAUCCCGGAGCUCAACUCCGGAACUGCUUCCGAUACUGCCGACCUUGAGGACGAGAGGGGAGAGUGGAACUUCUGGUGGAGCGGUGAAAUGCGUAGAUAUCAGAAGGAACACCGGUGGCGAAAGCGACUCUCUGGCUCGUUUCUGACGCUCAGGUGCGAAAGCUAGGGUAGCAAACGGGAUUAGAUACCCCGGUAGUCCUAGCCGUAAACGAUGGGCACUAGGUAGGGGAGGUUCUGACGCCUUCUCUGCUGUAGCU
Molecule: ribosomal RNA, 501 nt
Filed under: uncultured bacterium
Lineage: Bacteria
Description: bacterial SSU rRNA
Rfam family: Bacterial small subunit ribosomal RNA
Source: RNAcentral